RNAcentral lists this ribosomal RNA (364 nucleotides) under uncultured Rhodoferax sp. Its description in RNAcentral is "bacterial SSU rRNA". It matches the Rfam family "Bacterial small subunit ribosomal RNA", at positions 1014 to 1382 of the family's 1533-position model. The record is from RNAcentral. Lineage: Bacteria; Pseudomonadati; Pseudomonadota; Betaproteobacteria; Burkholderiales; Comamonadaceae.
GUCCCUCGGGGACAGGGUGACAGGUGGUGCAUGGUUGUCGUCAGCUCGUGUCGUGAGAUGUUGGGUUAAGUCCCGCAACGAGCGCAACCCUCGACCUUAGUUGCCAGCAUUCAGUUGGGCACUCUAAGGUGACUGCCGGCUAAAAGUCGGAGGAAGGUGGGAUGACGUCAAGUCCUCAUGGCCCUUAUAGGUGGGGCUACACACGUCAUACAAUGGCCGGUACAAAGGGCUGCCAACCCGCGAGGGGAGCCAAUCCCAUAAAACCGGUCGUAGUCCGGAUCGCAGUCUGCAACUCGACUGCGUGAAGUCGGAAUCGCUAGUAAUCGUGGAUCAGAAUGUCACGGUGAAUACGUUCCCGGGUCUU